Molecule: non-coding RNA, 118 nt
Organism: Aedes albopictus (Asian tiger mosquito)
Lineage: Eukaryota; Metazoa; Arthropoda; Insecta; Diptera; Culicidae
Source: Rfam
UGCCCAGCAACCCCUAUCCCUACCUCCUCGCGGUACCGGCCGGAAACUAUGAGCAACCUUAGGGAAGAUCGGGUAACCAACCCCGGUGGGAACUUUGGUCGUAGGCUGACAGGGAAGG